Molecule: long non-coding RNA, 791 nt
Filed under: Callithrix jacchus (white-tufted-ear marmoset)
Lineage: Eukaryota; Metazoa; Chordata; Mammalia; Primates; Cebidae
Description: lncRNA (ENSCJAG00000072008.1)
Source: RNAcentral
CUGCAAAUGUUAGCUGUUAUGACUGUGAUGAUGCUAGGACCUUGUCACAGUGUAAAGGAAGCCAUAUCCCUGACCUCUGAGAGCGUGUACUCAAAAUGAGAUAAAAUACAGACAGAAAAGCAACCCAAACGUGGCAGAAGGGGCAGGGAGGUUGCAUUCAGUCCAGAGGUUUCACUGAAUCCUCCUUCCUUUCCAUCUCCUCCUACCAAAAUUGUUGAUGUUACUGCAGAACAAGGCAUUCUUUUAACUGCUUAGAAACCAGGAUUUCUUUCAUUUUUUCCCCCUAAGUGGGGUGUGGGGGUAGGAAAAGAGAGAGGGAAUAAACACCAGCUGGGAUGAGAAUAUGAAGAAAAGGUACUUGCUCUAUCCACCAGGCCGGAGUGCAGUUGGGCGAUCAUAGCUCAUUGUAACCUUGAACUCCUGGGCUCAAGGAAUCCUCCUGCCUCAGCAUCCCCAAGCAGCUAAGACCACAGUUCCCCAAGGCCGGAAAGGUACAAUGUUAUUUUACCUUCCCUAGAUUGUAGCCUGAUUCUACCAUACAGUUGGCCUAGCUAUCAAGGAAAAAUGGAUGAUAUUUCUCGUGUUCUCUUUGAGAUUGACCCUCAAAACAGCGCUUCAUUUUACUAAAGGAGAAGAUCGAGGAAUUUGGACAUAUACAGUGACUGAGAAAGUAUGGUGGAGAGUACUAAGGGAAUACCAAAAUCCUUGUGGAGCAUGGAAGCCCAGGUCAUAACCACAGAGAGGGACAUGGAUGAAUCUGGAGAACAUCAUUCUCAGCAAACUGACACAAG